UGGGGAAUAUUGCACAAUGGGCGCAAGCCUGAUGCAGCCAUGCCGCGUGUAUGAAGAAGGCCUUCGGGUUGUAAAGUACUUUCAGCGGGGAGGAAGGGAGUAAAGUUAAUACCUUUGCUCAUUGACGUUACCCGCAGAAGAAGCACCGGCUAACUCCGUGCCAGCAGCCGCGGUAAUACGGAGGGUGCAAGCGUUAAUCGGAAUUACUGGGCGUAAAGCGCACGCAGGCGGUUUGUUAAGUCAGAUGUGAAAUCCCCGCGCUCAACCUGGGAACUGCAUCUGAGACUGGCAAGCUGUAGUCUUGUAGAGGGGGGUAGAAUUCCAGGUGUAGCGGUGAAAUGCGUAGAGAUCUGGAGGAAUACCGGUUGCGAAGGCGGCCCCCUGGACAAAGACUGACGCUCAGGUGCGAAAGCGUGGGGAGCAAACAGG
RNAcentral lists this ribosomal RNA (429 nucleotides) under Chloroflexota bacterium. RNAcentral describes it as "Chloroflexi bacterium partial 16S ribosomal RNA". It matches the Rfam family "Bacterial small subunit ribosomal RNA", at positions 355 to 776 of the family's 1533-position model. Lineage: Bacteria; Bacillati; Chloroflexota. The record is from RNAcentral.